This is a long non-coding RNA of Choloepus didactylus (southern two-toed sloth), 4688 nucleotides long. RefSeq lists it as uncharacterized. NCBI's taxonomy places the organism in Eukaryota, Metazoa, Chordata, Mammalia, Pilosa, Megalonychidae. The transcript has 7 exons. The record is from RefSeq and is a predicted model, not a curated record.
GGGUCAAGACCACAGGCUUUAUAGGCACUUGUAUCAUCAGGCUCACCCAGCCCAGGGCAGGAGCCACAGAGCAUGUGCGUGGCACAGGCCGAGAGCCUCACUGCAUGGGCUCCAUGUGCCAGAGGCCUCAGGCCUCCCAGUGAGUGCUGGAGCUUUCCUGGGGUCAGACCUCUCCAGCAGGCAGAGGGACCAGCGAUGGGGCCCACCUUCCCAGACAGGGAGAAUGAAUGGAGGGAACCCAAGGACCAGCCACACCUCCCACCCCUGACUUAUACAAACCUGCCCCCAGGGCUGCAAGGGGCUGCCUCAGGCCAGCUGGCCCCAGGCUUGUGCUGACCAGCAACUCCUUUCAGGCUGAACCCGGGGGCUCAUCCUACUCUGCAAACAGCCCCACUUGCACACUUCGUCUAGGCAGAAAGAGGGGAGCCCUCUGCCCUCCCAGCAAACCCACCUGACAGCCUCUCCUGGCUGCUCUUGCCCCAGGCCUGCUCCCUGGGAUUUUUCUGAGAGCAGAAUGUUCUAAUGUCUCUAGACUUUUUCUUUCCUUCUAAGACCCCUACAUGAGUCUCAGUCUGGAGUCCGUGCAUGGGAUGAGAAGUUCCUGGCGCCCUGAGAUCAAGGACAGAAGUUUGUGUACUUCCCCUGGGAAGCGGUGUCACCUCUUCAUCUGACGGUCAAAAGGGCCCACGUCCCAAGAAGGGUACAGAGCUGCCCGGUGCCAGGUCACCUGUCCCACUUACAUGGUGUCCGUGUACACGGCAGGGACUCGGGAACCAGGCUGCCUGACUGGGCAUCCUGACUCUACUUCCUAUUAGUGAUGCUGGGAACCUGAGACCCAGACAGGAGUCCCCAUGUUCCUGAAUGGGUGUCUGAGGUAUUCAGGAAGAACGCAGACACAGCUGUGAGCCCUGAAGACCACAGACGGUCUUCUGCUUGAAGGCCCCAGGCUAGAGAAGGAAACAACGAAGCUCCUGGAGGUCAUGCUGCCCAAGGUCACGGGAGAAAACCAGGUUGGCUUGACUGGUAGGACGGGUUCCAGAGUGCUCAGACGCGGGACCGGGCGGCAGGGGUGGGGGCUGCCCAGUACCUCUCAGGGCCAGGAGCUGGGGUGGCGCAGCAGGGACUGCUGAGGAGGGGUCCAGGCCGCCCGUGGAUGCUCCAAACCAACGUUCCGCCACCUCGGGGAACUCAGGCCCGUCUCUUCCCGGCUUGGACUGACCAAAGACUCACGUAAUGACACGCGGCUUCCGGCCCCAAUAUCCCUGCGGCCAGGCUGGACGGCAGAAUCUCAACUCCUGGAGGCUGUCUAGUCCGCUCAAGUGCGGCGACUCCGCACUCAGAGCGUUCAGCUCAGCCGAGAACACUCCCCUGCAGCCAAACAACCGGCGGGGCAGAGCUUCCGGGGAACCCGGGGCGCUCCGGGGCGCUCCUGGACGCAGUCGCAUCCGCGGGGCAUGCCGGGACUUGGGCGGCACAGCCAACCCCGCGCGAGGGCGGGCGGUGGUUACCCGGCAACUGGGCGGGCACCAGGUUGGGGGGCGGGGCCAGAUGAGGCCGGUGAGCAGGUGUACUAACCGCGGAGCAGGGCCUCGCAGGCGGAUUGCGGAGGAUCCCGCUUUUCCUGUCCUCAGUUUCCCCACUCCUACCUGAGGAAAGGGAAGAUCAUCAAAGGGAUGCUACGAAACAAAGAGUAAAUCAUGGAAACUGAUAAUAAUAAUAACAAUAAUAAUAUUACUGAGCACUUAACUCUGGGCCUAGCCCUUUACAGAGAUUAUCUGGUUUGAUCCUCAUUUAAUCCUGUGAGAAAAGUAUGAUUUACUCAUACUGAUUUUGCAAAUGAGGAAACCGUGAUAUAGACAGAUUAAGCAUCUUGCCCAAACUAAUUAAUCUAGGGAGUAGCAGAGCUGGAAUUUGAGCCCAGGUAUUCCUGAAUCAGGCGGUCUGUGUUCUUAAUGACACAAGCAGUGAACAAUCCCUUCAAUUCAGGAAACGUAAGUCUGUGUUCCUACCAGGCCCUGCAGGGGCCAGUCCAGGGUCUAUGGAGCCUGAAGCCUGUACAAUUUGGGGGGGCCCUCUUUAAGAAAAAGAAUAAAAAUAGCAAAUAUAAAAUUAGGUACAAAAAGGAAUAUUUAUUUAAAUAAGAAUGUAAAAAUAUAUCACAACAAAAUAUUUUUACAAAUUGUAGAAAAAUUUAUGAGCCUGUGAACACAUUGCAAGGGUUCCACACAAAGGCAUCUUUGACCUUAGCUUGCCAUUGGAGUCCUUCAAUCAGAUGUCAAGCUACCUUGCAGGCUUCUCUGCUGUUCCCUUCACAACUCUGCAUCCCAGGGCCUAGCAAUCUGUUUAGUAGGGCUUUUCUGGCUGAGGGAUGGCACUUGGCCUGCCUAGGGUGGGGUGGGGAGGAGAGCAGGCGAGCCAGAGUGAACCACACUGGAACGUGUUCUACACUAGUGGCUCUUAGGAUGUGGUCCCCAGACCAGCAGCAUCUGCAUCACUUGGGAACAUUCUAGAAAUGCAAAUUCUCAUAUCACACCCUAUGCCUGUGGAAUCAAACUGAGGAGUGGAGGUCAGCAAUCUGUUUUCAGAAGCCCUCCAGGUGAUUCUGAUUCAUGCUCUGUGCACGUGUAAGAACCACUGUCUACACUGUUCCCCAGAGAUCCCCUGUGGACUUCAGCUCCAAUUGUCCACAAUGAGUGUUGCACUGAACAUCCUUAUACCUGCCUCCAUGGAUCUGUGUGUUUUGCUGGCUCAGGUGAAGGCUUUAUAGAAGAGAGAAGUUGGAUUGAGGCUAGAAAGAUUAUAAAGCACUUUAGUGAAUGUUUCCAUUUCCAACCUGAGCAGCCAUCUUGGGUGGUGUUCAGGGGGACUGGGGGCCCUCGUGCCCAUUUACAGUUGAGGAAACUGAGACUUGGAACAGUUGGCAAAGGCCCAGGCCUGCUGCGUCCUGGACUAGCAAGAUUUGCAUCACAUCACACUGCCUCGCCUCCGUUUCCCCAGGGACGGCUGCAGGGCAGAAAGGACCCCAAUGAGGCCGGAAAGUCGAGGUGGAAUCAAAUCUAAUCCCAGGUGCAUUCAUCUUUCAAGGUUCUGCUUAAGUGGUCCCUCCUACUUGAGGUCUUCUCCAAUCUCCUUGGUCAGGGUGGAUUGCAGUCUUCUUGGAGUCCCUGCUGAACCUGCUGCUGGCCUCGUCUAGCCUCAUCACACUGUUUCUCAGCUGUUUCUGUAUCUGACUCUCCAAUUGGACUGCCGUUUCUCCAAGGACUGAAAUGAUGUCUUAGGAUUCUCUGUGUCCUCAGCACCCGAUCCAGAGCUUGGAACGGUGUGGACCCUUCAGGAAUGCUUAUUAGGUGACUGAACCAAGAUCCAGCCCCUGCCUCCAAGGAUCUCAAAAUUGAAUGUAUCCCAGGGCUGAAGAUGAACUUGAACCCACUGCAGAGAUUUGGCUACUUCUGAAGAUACCUGGACAAGAUAUACUGAAUAAGAAACGAUCACCUUAGGAAUCAUCGUAUGGUCCAUGCCAGACAGAAUUCUCACAGUAGCCAGCAACAGAAAUGAACUCUGGCUAACUGAUAGAGAAAAUGAAAUUUCCUGGUGAGAGAAAAGGGGCUUGCCAAAUCAACCACAAGGUCAAGAAAAGUCACAGGAACCGAAGGAGACUGGUGACCAAAAAUGCAGUCAAGGACUCUGCCCAGGCCAGGCCUCAGGAACCUUUGGGUCAGGGUUUCGUGCUUUGCAUAAUUUCUAAACCAUUCCUGUUUUUGUCUCUCUUCAAAGUUCGAAGUUGAGAGUGGAGCUCCUGAUUCCUGGCCUGCAUCAUGUGCUUGCACCCUGGGACGAAGGAAAACGGGAGCUCCAGGACAAGGGAGGACUUCCUUUUUAACUUCAACAAUUAAAGCAGAACCUGGUUCUAUCCCUUACUUUAUACAGCGGGGCACUUCUCCCCAGUAGGAGGGGGGUUCAGGUGAUGCUGGCCCCUUGAGGAGAGCAAGGUCCUGAGCAGUUAACAUCUUUACGGUUCUUGGGGUUAUCCCAUUCCAUCCCAAGAGGCAGCCUGGGCAGGCACCAUCAUCUCAAGUGCAGAAGUAGAAACCAAAGCUCAGAGGGGUGAAAUGGCUUGUCCCAAACCACGUAAGGUGGUAAGCAAUGCCUCUCUAUCACACUGGUCCACCUUCCUCAGUGCCCUUGGGGAAAAUCAUUAUUUAUUUGUAAUUGAAGUGGCUUCCUCUUAUCCUCUAUUGCCUCCCAAUCAAUUUCCAUUUUUCUAACCACAAAUCACAGCCUGUCAACCCCACCCCAAACCCCUGCUUUGAUGCCUUGACUCAGGAAAAAGAUCAAACCUGAUCAAGGCUAACAAAACCCUGCUUCCACUCCAGCUUUACUUUCAUCGUGCUCCCCAUUUUCUCUGUGCUUCAGCCUCUCCAGCCUUCCGUCAGUCCCUCAUAUAUGCCAGUUCCUUCCCAGUGUUUCUCCUGCCUAAAACUCCACCCUCUCUCCAUUGCACAUCCUUCAGACCUCAGCUCAGUGUCACCUCCUCCAGGAAGCCUUCCCUGAUCCCCUAGCCUAGGUGCCAUUAAAGCACUCUCUUUCCUACAACUGAUUUUUACUGGUUUUGUGAUUCACUGAUUAACGUCUGGUUCCUACACUAGAGGAGCUCCAGAAGGCAUAGGCACCAAGCCUGUUUUGUUUCU